CCUACGGGAGGCAGCAGUAGGGAAUAUUGCUCAAUGGGGGAAACCCUGAAGCAGCAACGCCGCGUGGAGGAUGAAGGUUUUCGGAUUGUAAACUCCUUUUGUUAGAGAAGAUUAUGACGGUAUCUAACGAAUAAGCACCGGCUAACUACGUGCCAGCAGCCGCGGUAAUACGGAGGGUGCAAGCGUUACUCGGAUUCACUGGGCGUAAAGAGUGCGUAGGCGGGGUAAUAAGUCAGAUGUGAAAGCCUGUAGCUUAACUACAGAACUGCAAUUGAAACUGUUAGUCUGGAGUGCAGGAGAGGUAGGUGGAAUUCUUGGUGUAGGGGUGAAAUGCGUAGAGAUCAAGAGGAAUACUCAUUGCGAAGGCGGCCUGCUGGACCGUUACUGACGUUGAUGCUCGAAAGCGUGGGGAGCAAACAGGAUUAGAUACCCUUGUAGUC
This 440-nucleotide ribosomal RNA is filed under the name uncultured bacterium. RNAcentral's name for it is "partial 16S ribosomal RNA". It matches the Rfam family "Bacterial small subunit ribosomal RNA", at positions 338 to 795 of the family's 1533-position model. The record is from RNAcentral.